Poecile atricapillus (Black-capped chickadee) is the source of this 1632-nucleotide long non-coding RNA. RefSeq lists it as uncharacterized. The transcript has 5 exons. Lineage: Eukaryota; Metazoa; Chordata; Aves; Passeriformes; Paridae. The record is from RefSeq and is a predicted model, not a curated record.
ACUCCUGACCUUCUGCCCAGAAUCCUCGGGUUACAGAUUUCCCUUGUGGCUUCCCGUGUUCGGCCUCCUCCGUGACACGUGGCCUCCCUCUGAAGCAGGAGUUUAAACUCAUUCCAGGAUAUUUCAGCUUCCUCUCCCAGCUGGUUUCUAGGGCAUGGCAGGGAUGACCCUGCUUCCAAACACUUUCUCCACUGACACAGGAGUUUGCUCUUCUCUUCUCUACCAUUUUCCUGAAGAACUGGAAGACUAAGAGCAAGAUCCUCGGAACAUGUAACAGUGUAGACAAAGCAGGACUUACUUCAUGAAGACAUGGCCAUCAAUAUGCAGACAAAGCACCCCAAAUCUUUAAGAAAUACCUUUCCAACAGUGAGAGACAUGGAUCUAGAUGAACGAGGAACCCCAUCUUCUGCACAGAAACAAAGACAAAGAACAGUCUUAGACUAUAUUUUCCACAUACUGCAUCAUUACUUCUGUUGCCUUUGACAUACGCUUUUCCUAAGGAAGAAAAGAAGGAAAUACCCAGGCUGGAAAAGAGUGAACCUGUGGAUCCAGGAUAGAGUUAAACACCAGGAUGCCCUCACCUGGCGAACGGCUCCCACCAUCUCGGCACGGCUCGAGAGCCUGGCAGCCAAACGCCGCAGCACCGCGAUGUCCUCCAGGAGCUUCUGGUAGGCUUCCCUGUGCUCAUAGUGGUGCCACAGGGAACAGAGGGAAGAGCAGCAAAAUAUUCUCAACAUUUUUGUUUACCAGAAGCAAUUAAUUUGAAAAUGGAGAUUUGGAAUUCCAGAUGGAAGACGUGAAGAUCACAAUCUUUCUUUAAUUGUGUGUUUUCUUGCCUGAUGGUGUUCUUGAUGAAGUAAAUGGGAGAAUCAUAUGUUCUUCUAACUGUUCUCAUAAAAAUGGCAGCACCACCUUGCAAUAAUGAAUGCCAAGUCUAAGGCUAUCUCAUUUAUCAGCCUGGUGUCUAACCAUCCCUCCCUUUAUGCACAAAGACAUGCACGGCACUUAAGUUGACACAUCUUACCUAUUUUGUCAUUCCAGUAGGAAAACCCAGAGAAAGCUGGCAGGAGGGACUCAAAACUACUUCUAAAAAGGAACACCAGGGACAGCUGGAAUGAAAGUGUACUCGGGCCCAAAACCUGAUCCUGAGAUUGUAUCUAUUCCUUAAGCAUUCCUUGCUGUUUCCUUUCACAUAUCGUGCCCUCUAGUAUCUCCAGUUAAGAGGCCUUUCAAGAUGCAGAUCUCAGGAUUCUGAGAUUUUGGUAUCUAUCAUAUCUGGACACCUUAAAUUUACUGCUAAAGAAGGCAUUGCCCAGGAGAGCAUGGAUUAGUGCUCAAUCUGCAGUUCUGGAUGCUCUUAGCUAUGUCACAGGCUUAUUUCAAGAACCAAACAGCAAAUUCCUAGUAUUUAUUCCUGAAAUCUGCUAGACCCAGGGAAGCAUCCUCUAGAUAUUUCCAGCAAUGUUGGCCCAGUCUGGCAGAAUAUGCCCUCUCAGAGUAGUAGGCAGCUCAUGGCAAGGAGUUUGAGCAGCAGAAAAAUGAAGUUCUGGGGCUGAACUUAUAAAUCAAACACAUUUACAAUGUAUGUGCACUUUCAUGUACACUAUAGGUCAGGAAAAGAAUUCCCACUAU